Molecule: transfer RNA, 70 nt
Filed under: Camelus bactrianus (Bactrian camel)
Lineage: Eukaryota; Metazoa; Chordata; Mammalia; Artiodactyla; Camelidae
Also listed under: 2 other names
Rfam family: tRNA
About the family: Transfer RNA (tRNA) molecules are approximately 80 nucleotides in length. Their secondary structure includes four short double-helical elements and three loops (D, anti-codon, and T loops).
Source: Rfam by way of RNAcentral
GGGUAUAGCUCAGUGGUAGAGUGCACGCUUAGCAUGCAUGAGGUACUGGGUUCAAUUUCUGGUAACCCCA